RNAcentral lists this ribosomal RNA (504 nucleotides) under Ochrobactrum sp. SCW-3. RNAcentral describes it as "bacterial SSU rRNA". It matches the Rfam family "Bacterial small subunit ribosomal RNA", at positions 106 to 645 of the family's 1533-position model. The record is from RNAcentral. Lineage: Bacteria; Pseudomonadati; Pseudomonadota; Alphaproteobacteria; Hyphomicrobiales; Brucellaceae.
GUGAGUAACGCGUGGGAACGUACCUUUUGCUACGGAAUAACUCAGGGAAACUUGUGCUAAUACCGUAUGUGCCCUUCGGGGGAAAGAUUUAUCGGCAAAGGAUCGGCCCGCGUUGGAUUAGCUAGUUGGUGAGGUAAAGGCUCACCAAGGCGACGAUCCAUAGCUGGUCUGAGAGGAUGAUCAGCCACCCUGGGACUGAGACACGGCCCAGACUCCUACGGGAGGCAGCAGUGGGGAAUAUUGGACAAUGGGCGCAAGCCUGAUCCAGCCAUGCCGCGUGAGUGAUGAAGGCCCUAGGGUUGUAAAGCUCUUUCACCGGUGAAGAUAAUGACGGUAACCGGAGAAGAAGCCCCGGCUAACUUCGUGCCAGCAGCCGCGGUAAUACGAAGGGGGCUAGCGUUGUUCGGAUUUACUGGGCGUAAAGCGCACGUAGGCGGACUUUUAAGUCAGGGGUGAAAUCCCGGGGCUCAACCCCGGAACUGCCUUUGAUACUGGAAGUCUUGA